Molecule: long non-coding RNA, 1605 nt
Filed under: Pan troglodytes (chimpanzee)
Lineage: Eukaryota; Metazoa; Chordata; Mammalia; Primates; Hominidae
Description: long non-coding RNA NONPTRT003431
Source: RNAcentral
GAGUCAUAUGAGAAAGGAUUGAAGGACUCAGUCAGGAGGCCUUCAACUACCACCCUGGACCCAGGAGGAAGGCUCUAGGAAAGGCUGUGGCUACUGGAAAGAUUUGGGGACUCUGAGAAUAUCCUUGUCUUGCUCAGACAAUUUCUACCUUAGGUGACCAUCAAAUAUUCCAAGCUAGGGCUGGAGGACUUUGACUUCAAACACUACAAUAAGACCUUGUUUGCUGGAUUAGAGCCCCACAUUCCCAAUGCCUACUGUAACUGCAUGAUCCAGGUAAGGGUUGGGUAUUCCUAUAACUUGAACGUGCCUGCUGCUUUUCUUCUUCCCUAUGGCUCUCGACCCUGCUCUUUCCAGGUCUCCUCAGCCGUGUUCUCUUUACCAUGGUCUCCUCUACAAUUCUUUCUUUCCUCUACAACUUUCAAGUCUCCUCUGAGCUCCACCGGUUUGGUGGACUCACUGCUUCGGUGGACUCCUGCUGUGUAUUUUCUCCACCAGCUCACUUAACCUCCAUAUUUCUCCUCACCCCCAGGCCAGUUUCCUACAUCAGUUCUUCUGCUUUUCCCUCCAGGUGCUCUAUUUCCUGGAGCCUGUACGCUGUCUAAUUCAAAACCACCUUUGCCAGAAGGAGUUCUGUCUGGCAUGUGAGCUGGGCUUCCUGUUUCACAUGUUGGACCUCUCUCGUGGUGACCCUUGCCAGGUCAGUACUUGGAGACACUUAAAAUGGAAGGGGAAGGAAGGUGGACACAAAAGACAAAAUAACCCCUUUCCACCAACACAUUUCCAGGGCAAUAAUUUUCUUCGGGCAUUCCGUACCAUUCCUGAGGCCUCAGCCCUCGGUCUAAUCCUGGCUGACUCAGAUGAGGCCUCAGGCAAGGGCAAUCUGGCCAGGCUCAUUCAGAGGUGGAAUCGCUUCAUUCUCACUCAACUGCAUCAAGAUAUGCAGGAGCUGGAAAUACCACAGGCUUAUCGAGGUGCUGGAGGCAGGUAUGAAAUCAGGAUAGAAAUAGUUAAAGCCAUCAUGACAGGCCCCUCUGUGAUUUAAAAGGUCUCCUAACUUCCUCAAUGUGCAUAUAUCAUCCUCUCCACUCUUAGCAGCUUUUGCUCAUCGGGGGACUCUGUUAUUGGGCAGCUCUUCAGCUGUGAGAUGGAGAACUGCAGCCUCUGCCGCUGUGGCAGUGAGACCGUGCGAGCCUCAUCCACCCUGCUUUUCACACUCUCCUACCCUGAUGGUAGCAAAAGUGGUGUACCCUUCAGCUCAGUUGGGAAGGCUCCCCAAAAUGUCCUGUAAUAUCAGGGAGAGGGUGUUGGGGACUAACUGUGGGUAGAGGGGAGAACCAGGAGUAUAGCAUCUAAUUUUCCCUCAGAUAAAACUGGGAAGAACUAUGACUUUGCUCAGGUGCUGAAGCGAAGCAUCUGCCUGGACCAGAAUACACAGGCCUGGUGUGACACCUGUGAAAAGUACCAGCCCACGAGAUUCAGACCCGCAACAUCCGCCAUCUGCCAGAUAUUCUUGUCAUCAAUUGUGAGGUGAACAGCUCAAAAGAGGCUGAUUUCUGGAGAAUGCAGGCUGAGGUGUUGCCUUCAAGAUGGCAGUAAAGAAACACG